AGUUUGUCCAUAUAAAUAUUUAAAACAAUUUCUGAAUAUUUUUGUGACAAGAUACUACUAUAUUUAACUGGAAAGAGAAAAAAAUAAGGUAAAACUUUAAAAGCUUCACAUAAGUUUUACAUAUAAAAUAUGGAAUGGAGUCCCAGGGGGAAAAAGAAAUUUUCUAAAAAUAUUUUUUUUCUAAAUCACAUUUCUUGAUUUAAAGUGUCAAUAGUAGUAAAGUACUUUCAUUAUAAUAAAUGAUGCAUGUCUCCAUAUUUAGACUUCAGAGGUGUUACAUAGUCAAUAAUGGCAGGUUCAAAAUGGUUCCUGGUAUAAUAACUGCAUUUGUUCCACAAUUAGGGAGACUGUAUAGUAGCAUUUUUACUACAUGCAAUUAAUAAUUUUUCUUUUUCUCUUUUUGCAUUUUUUAAAAGCAAUUAAGUCUUUCUCCUCACCUCUAAAUCAUUAGUGUGGUAGAUGUGCCAGAUGUAGUCACAGUAUCUGCAUUCAACUUCCAUUCAACAUUCAAUAAACAUUUACUGAGCACUUAUAUGCUAGGCUGAGCUUGGUCCAGGGGAUAUAAAAAUAAAAUAAUAAUUGUCUGUUUGCAGGAACUUUGCACUGAACAAAGCACUCAAAAUAAAAAUGUAAAUACACUCUGGUGGUGUUGUCUACCUGCAAUAAUUGGGCUAAGCACCCACUUUCAUAUAAAGGCAACAUUUAAUGCAGAAGUGAGGGACGGUGAUCAGAGAAUGUGUCUUAGACAUGCUGAUGCCCCUGGUUAGUCCUGAAGGACAAGUAGGAAUAAGAUUAGUGGGUGUAGUGUGGUCAUUACUCCUGUAGGUUUGUUCACAGAGAUAUGGGCCCCUCUGUGACUGGUCUUCUGUCUUGGUCAGUGACAGUGAGGGGGAUGAGACUAAGGGAUACUUGAAGGAGACACAGGUUUCUUCUCAGUGCUGGUAUCCCCUACAUCUCAGCUGCUCUUUUAUGAAGUUUCUAGUUUCCCAACUAAAGGAUUGGGUUUUGGAGAAUACCUAAUGAUAAGCAAUUCAUAAUUGUCCUUUGUUAAUUCUUUCUUUUUCAUUUAGACAUUUUAGUUUGUGUACUGAGCAAGUUUAAUAUUUAAGUUUUGACUUUCUCUUUGUAAUCCCACACAUCUCAGCACAGGUUACUGGUGGAAGAAUAAUGUUGGUUUCUAAGUUAUAAAGAUUCCCUGUUUUAACAUGGAGUGUUCUAAGUCCACUGUACUAUUCUCCAAAUAGUACCAUGUACAUUUUCUUAGUUUUGAAACUGACUGAGAGUAACAUGCAAAAUACAAAUGUUAAGUUCUUGAAAAUUUAUGUGAUAUCAAAUUUUAGGACAUAGGACUAUUGUAAGAUGCAAUAGAGACAUUUGGUAUUUUAAAUAUCUUUUUGAAUCUAUGGUAUGUUGUAGAAUGAAUAUGCUAAAACUUAUGUGUUUUUAAGGGUUUAACUUGUUAUGUACACCAAGAUAUAACUGGCUGAAAAUUUUAUUUAUCAUGCAUGGGAAGC
RNAcentral lists this long non-coding RNA (1514 nucleotides) under Marmota monax (woodchuck). Lineage: Eukaryota; Metazoa; Chordata; Mammalia; Rodentia; Sciuridae. The record is from RNAcentral.